RNAcentral lists this long non-coding RNA (284 nucleotides) under Nicotiana benthamiana. RNAcentral's name for it is "long non-coding RNA (NBEN_LNC002451)". The record is from RNAcentral. Lineage: Eukaryota; Viridiplantae; Streptophyta; Magnoliopsida; Solanales; Solanaceae.
AAGACGUCGGAAAAAUUACCCAAAACGUCGAUCCUAUGAAGAUGUGACCAGCUGAUAUCAUUUGAACCUUCGACUCGAUUCACUUAGAGUUUACUAACAACUAACAGUACAUAAGCUUUCAAAACAAAAUUUUCAAUACGAACUGAACUGAGUUGACAGAAGACGACGGAGAAUCGUUCGAGCAUCCCCGCUCUAAUACCAUGAAAACAUUGAAGAUUAAAGAUGAAGAAAAGGAUGGAGAUUUUUCAUUUCUCAGUUGAAGAACUCUGUAGAGAUAAAAUGAG